UUGGCCUUGACAUACUAAGAACUUUCCAGAGAUGGAUUGGUGCCUUCGGGAACUUAGAUACAGGUGCUGCAUGGCUGUCGUCAGCUCGUGUCGUGAGAUGUUGGGUUAAGUCCGCAACGAGCGCAACCCUUUUCCUAUUUGCCAGCGGGUAAUGCCGGGAACUUUAAGGAUACUGCCAGUGACAAACUGGAGGAAGGCGGGGACGACGUCAAGUCAUCAUGGCCCUUACGGCCAGGGCUACACACGUGCUACAAUGGUCGGUACAAAGGGUUGCUACCUCGCGAGAGGAUGCUAAUCUCAAAAAGCCGAUCGUAGUCCGGAUCGCAGUCUGCAACUCGACUGCGUGAAGUCGGAAUCGCUAGUAAUCGCGGAUCAGAAUGCCGCGGUGAAUACGUUCCCGGGCCUUGUACACACCGCCCGUCACACCAUGGGAGUUUGUUGCACCAGAAGUAGGUAGUCUAACCGCAAGGAGGACGCUUACCACGGUGUGGCCGAUGACUGGGGUGAAGUCGUAACAAGGUAGGCGUAGAUGA
Molecule: ribosomal RNA, 533 nt
Filed under: uncultured bacterium
Lineage: Bacteria
Description: bacterial SSU rRNA
Rfam family: Bacterial small subunit ribosomal RNA
Source: RNAcentral